AGAGCUUCGAGAUAUCAAGGAAAAAGGUGAAGAUGUUAUUAGAAUAUUGCCGACAUCUUCUAUUAUCUAAUCUUAUACUAGAACUACCGUCAAACUAAAGACUGAAAACAGAAGAACCCAAUUCAUAAGAUGGGAUACAUAAGUUACAACAUAUGGUCCAUUAGAAAGCCUGAGAUGAUCCGCAUAGAUGUAUGUUAGGGAUUGUUCAGGAAGAAGAAGAGCUCGGUAUAGAACUAACCUUUUCCAGAAGCCCCGUGAUCUCGCUUUUCAGUUUUGCCUUUGUCUCUCUUGAUAAACUAUCCCCGGAUUUCUCCAGCAUUGCUGUCAUCAUCAACAGAUUCUGCCUCAUUGCAUCCAUACUUGUUGGUAUAUUGUUCGGUUUCGGAACUGGACUAACAUGUGAGAUUACCGGCAUUCGUGGGGCAAUGUUCCUUUGAACGGUUAUCAGUUUCUGCUGUAACCGGAAAUUCACUAAGGUUUCACCAAAUGGGUUAGCUUUCUCUAAGCUUUUAACUGCUUCUAUCGCGUCUGCACUACUCACAAAGGCGACCUGUGCACCACUAAAUUCUUCUGAAACGUGUGUUUCUGAAGAAUCCAACGGGCCAAACGCAGAGAAUGUCGAGGUUAGGUCGUCCCUUGAAGGCAUUGACACUUGGGAGGAAAAUUUCAAGAAGAGAAUUGUGAUUCCUCUGGUUAAUCCAUUAGGUGACUCCUCUUUCUUCCGACGUCUUCUGCGCUGAGUAGGCUCAACUUGAGGCAGAACCAAAGUUGGCUCUGUAUUUGUUCCAUUUAAGUCAGGUAUCCCAGUAGUGGCACUGGCAUGUGCAACUAUUGGAAGCUCUUCUGCAUUCUUCCUCUUCCUUCCUCUCUUUUUCUUCCCUGAAUAAGUGAAAAGGUCUGCACUCGUGAAGUGUUUGUAUGAAGUUGGCUGGCUAGAAACAAACUGAGUUCCUGAGACUCCCUGAUGAGCUGUCACCUGAAAGUUAAGUAUCGUAGAUCUUGGUGUCUUCUCCUCUUGUGGGCAGACAUUAUGCUGAAUUAAAGUCUCAGGUCUUUGCAUAUGGUCAAACUCUGCAGUACCCAAAGCAUUGCCUCCGCUGUUCAGGUCCGGUACAAGUAUAGCAGCAGGUCUGCUGAGUGUAUCUGCCGUCAUAGCUUUCCUGUCUGGAGCUUGUACCAACAGUUUGUCUUGAAAAUCUUUCGCCAACUGCACCUUUGCAACAGAACUAGGAAAAUUUGAGUGACCAAUGAUAUGAUUGAUCUUUGUCUUCCCUGAAUUAUUUGACUUGGAGGCCUCGUGGUCAAUAUUUGGAGUUGAAACACCAUUAAGAGAUUCGAUGUUGGACUUCUCUAAUAUCUGCAACUCAAAGGUCUUCUGCUCAGUAUCAGCAAC
Arabidopsis thaliana (thale cress) is the source of this 1393-nucleotide long non-coding RNA. RefSeq annotates it as other RNA. The transcript has a single exon. Lineage: Eukaryota; Viridiplantae; Streptophyta; Magnoliopsida; Brassicales; Brassicaceae. The record is from RefSeq.